UAGCCUGAUACAUCAAAACAAGUUCCAAAUAUUGGAAAUGAACGAAGGCUAUACCUACUCAGCAUGGAGGGAGGAAAAUGCGGGUGACGGUAUGUUCUCAUCUUUCAAUUAACGUGGCUUUUUCUACUAAUCAUUUGGGAAUUCCCAACUCAUUGAGUGUGACAGAGAAUCGUUAUGUUCAUUUGUCAUGCUAGAGUAGCUCUUUUGCCUUUUGCAUCCCUUGACUGCAAGCAAAUAAUUUGUUAGCACUAAGCUCAAUGCAGAGAAAGAGAACAAAAAUGCAUGAAAGUGUGAGAAAGAGGGACCUGAGCAGCAGCAGAUUUCUUUGAAUCCAAGAAUUGGCUAUAUAUGCU
RNAcentral lists this long non-coding RNA (353 nucleotides) under Manihot esculenta (cassava). RNAcentral's name for it is "long non-coding RNA (MESC_LNC012098)". The record is from RNAcentral. Lineage: Eukaryota; Viridiplantae; Streptophyta; Magnoliopsida; Malpighiales; Euphorbiaceae.